UUCUAAUAGAAUUAAUUAUUAGUAAAAUCUGCUCCAUGUUAAUAAAUAGCCGCAGUUCACUCUGUGCUAAGGUAGCAUAAUCAUUUGCCUUUUAAUUAAAGACUAGAAUGAAGGAUUCCACAUUUCAAUUAUUUUCUCAAAUUUAUACCUUAAAUUUAUCUUAAAUAUAAAAAGAUAUUUAUUAAAAAAAAAGACGACAAGACCCUAUUGAACUUUACUAUAGUUUAACUGGGGCAGUUAAUUAAUUAAAAUUUUAAUAUCUCAAAUACAAAAAAUUAUCCAAUAAAAUUGAAGUUUAAUCAAGUUACCAUAGGGAUAACAGCGUAAUAAAUUUCAAAAGAUCUUAUUCAAAAAUUUGCUUACGACCUCGAUGUUGAAUAUUCCCCUAAUAGAUGCAACGAUCUAAAAAGAAGGUCUGUUCGACCUUUAAAAGAUUACA
This 439-nucleotide ribosomal RNA is filed under the name Psammoduon cf. deserticola MR101. RNAcentral describes it as "partial 16S ribosomal RNA". It matches the Rfam family "Archaeal large subunit ribosomal RNA", at positions 1923 to 2669 of the family's 2987-position model. The record is from RNAcentral. Lineage: Eukaryota; Metazoa; Arthropoda; Arachnida; Araneae; Zodariidae.